RNAcentral lists this ribosomal RNA (492 nucleotides) under uncultured bacterium. Its description in RNAcentral is "partial 16S ribosomal RNA". It matches the Rfam family "Bacterial small subunit ribosomal RNA", at positions 29 to 507 of the family's 1533-position model. The record is from RNAcentral.
AGUGAACGCUGGCGGUAGGCCUAACACAUGCAAGUCGAACGGCAGCACAGUAAGAGCUUGCUCUUACGGGUGGCGAGUGGCGGACGGGUGAGGAAUACAUCGGAAUCUACUUUUUCGUGGGGGAUAACGUAGGGAAACUUACGCUAAUACCGCAUACGACCUACGGGUGAAAGCAAGGGAUCUUCGGACCUUGCGCGAUUGAAUGAGCCGAUGUCGGAUUAGCUAGUUGGCGGGGUAAAGGCCCACCAAGGCGACGAUCCGUAGCUGGUCUGGGAGGAUGAUCAGCCACACUGGAACUGAGACACGGUCCAGACUCCUACGGGAGGCAGCAGUGGGGAAUAUUGGACAAUGGGCGCAAGCCUGAUCCAGCCAUACCGCGUGGGUGAAGAAGGCCUUCGGGUUGUAAAGCCCUUUUGUUGGGAAAGAAAAGCAGCAGGUUAAUACCCCGCUGUUCUGACGGUACCCAAAGAAUAAGCACCGGCUAACUUCGUG